UACGUAGGGCGCAAGCGUUGUCCGGAAUUAUUGGGCGUAAAGAGCUCGUAGGCGGUCUGUCGCGUCCGUUGUGAAAACUCGAGGCUCAACCUCGGGCUUGCAGUGGAUACGGGCAGACUUGAGUUCGGUAGGGGAGACUGGAAUUCCUGGUGUAGCGGUGAAAUGCGCAGAUAUCAGGAGGAACACCGGUGGCGAAGGCGGGUCUCUGGGCCGAUACUGACGCUGAGGAGCGAAAGCGUGGGGAGCGAACAGG
This 253-nucleotide ribosomal RNA is filed under the name uncultured bacterium. RNAcentral's name for it is "partial 16S ribosomal RNA". It matches the Rfam family "Bacterial small subunit ribosomal RNA", at positions 524 to 776 of the family's 1533-position model. The record is from RNAcentral.